GCGGGCGUGGCGGAAUGGCAGACGCGCCAGAUUUAGGAUCUGGUGCCCCAGGCGUAUGAGUUCGAGUCUCUUCGCCCGCACCA
RNAcentral lists this transfer RNA (83 nucleotides) under Candidatus Pullichristensenella stercorigallinarum. RNAcentral's name for it is "tRNA-Leu". It matches the Rfam family "tRNA". From Rfam's summary of the family: Transfer RNA (tRNA) molecules are approximately 80 nucleotides in length. Their secondary structure includes four short double-helical elements and three loops (D, anti-codon, and T loops). The record is from RNAcentral. Lineage: Bacteria; Bacillati; Bacillota; Clostridia.